Molecule: RNA transcript, 6559 nt
Organism: Amphiprion ocellaris (clown anemonefish)
Lineage: Eukaryota; Metazoa; Chordata; Actinopteri; Pomacentridae
Gene: cinp
Gene name: cyclin-dependent kinase 2 interacting protein
Exons: 6
Source: RefSeq, a predicted model, not a curated record
ACAGAGGCAGAUAUCGAUCAGCAGGAGGCGCCGCCGAGCAGCAAGACACCACCGAAGAAGAAGAAGAACCGGAAGAGAAAGAAGAAGGAGAACAAGACGGAGUGUGAAGCUGAUCUGCAGCGUGAGCUGUGAUUAUUGAUCAGAUGGAAGGUGAGUCUGGUGACAUCACGGUGACAUCAAACAGGAAGUGCUCUGCGGUGACAGGAAGUGGCAGAAAGACCAAAGACAACGCGGCCGACUGGCACAACCUGAUGCUGCGAUGGGAACGACUGAACGACGACGGAUUCAAGGCCGCAACCAACAUCGUAAACAUGAGGCGCUCACAGAGUGAUCGACUGCUGGUGGACGAGUCUUCAUCUUCAUCAUCUUCUUCAUCUUCAUCAUCCUCAGCGUCGCAGCAGGCGGCUGCAGCUGCAGAGCUGCAGGACAAAUGCAUCAAACUGCAGGAGGUCGUCGACAAAAUGGUCGCCGUGGUAAUGAAGAUGGAGCGUCUGGUGACGUCACAGCAAGGCAUUCAGGACCUGGAGGAGUUUCAGUUUGGACCCGAAGGCAGGAAGAUUCCUCUGUUCCACAGCUGGAGCUCCAAACAGCUGGAGGAGUCGUGUCACUUCCUGUUGGCUGCCUACAGCCAGGAGCUGCAGCUCAAACGGACCAUCCUACAGGAAGUGGCCCACACCGUGACCCCUGACCUCUGCCUCGUCUACCUGUCCUGCUGGCUCCACCAGCCCUUCAUCCCCCCCCACAGCCGGCUGACGCUGGAGGCUCUGCUGCUGGAGACUGGACACCGGCCGCUAUGACACCUGCUCACCUGUGUGACAUCAGCUCACCUGGUUCACUGAUUGGCUGCAGGAAGCUUCAGUCACCAGAACUCACGCAGGAAGAUCGGCCGCCAGUGACGUCAUCACAGGUGAAAGCCGAACGGACCAAUCAGACGAGUCGACAAGGACCGACAAGGCUGAGGCUGUCCAGCCCAGAGAGGACAAGUUACAGUUGAUUGUCAUCUUGUCUCAAGAACAAAUCAGAUUCCACCUCCACGUAUUGAUCAGGUUAUUGAUGGUGUCGCUGCUGAUCGGGAGCUCGUCUCAGGUAACAGUCUGUUAAAUAUGAGCAGCAGAAAUCAAAGGAACUGAGAACUGAGGCGUGAAGAGAUGAACGGCCUCUCUGGUUUCUGAAUGCAGCUCUGAUGAAAAAAACUAGCUUCAAACAACAACUUCAGUCUGAACAAACAGCGACUCGCUUCUGGUUCAGAUUUAGAAGAACAAUCUGCCCUGAACAUCUUUAACCACACAUCAGCGCCCCCUGCAGGCUGCUGGGCUAACUACAGCCAGGGGUGUAAUACAGGCGCUGACCUGAGGGGGGGCACUGCAGCAAACAGCACCGAACACAACCUCCUGACUCUGAUUGGACAGCCUGGCAGGUGCUUCCUCCAGGUGUCUCUAAGAUUGGUUCAGGUGUUGGUGGUCUGGUGACACCUUAAAAAUACCACCUUAAAAGUGCCUGUCUCUGUGAUGUGGUCCACAUCAGGUUCUGGUUCUGCUUAGUCCAGAUGUGUCUGGAUGGUGCUGAAGGUUUACUGAGGAGCCUUGGCCCCGUCUGAAGCCUCGAUGCCCAGCAGGGCCUGGACCGCCUCCAGGGGGACGCCCUCCGGGGUCUGGAUGUGCAUGGUGGUGCCGUCCGGUCCGUUCACGAUGACGAUCCCGUCCGACCCGGGUUCUGCCAACUGCACCGUCAGCCCUUCGGUCUGGAUGUAGAUCUCCUGACCCUCCUGCAGCUCUUUGGACUCGCAGGGAUCCGUGCUGCCAAACUCGGGCUGGGAGGAGUCCUGCUGCCGGGGCUGAGAGGGGGGCAAGGUUUGGACCGAGCCGAACCCGGAUGUUUGGACGGGUCCGGACUCGAGUGUCUUAGUGUCGGCGCUUCUCUCAGGGCUGGAACCCAGAGCUUUCUCCAGCUCAGACACCUGAGCUGCGAUGUCAUUGGAGCUCAACACCUGGUCCUGCUGCAGUGGCAGAAGCCCCUCCUCCUCACCUGGGCUAUCCUCCAUGAGCGUGGCAGCAGCUGGAACGUGGGCGGAGUUCAGUGUCACAGGGGUGGAGCCAGAGGAGCUGAGGACAUCACAAACACAGAACAGAUCAGCUCUGAACAUCUGCUCCAGACCCUACAGAGGAACAGCAGCUUCACACCUGUGUGGUCACCUGUUCUACCUGAGCUCAGAGGAUGCGGGGUGGGGUCAGCUCACCUGGAGGCGGAGUCAGCAGAGGUGGGCGGCAGCUUGGAUUCACCUGGAACCACCAGAGGAGAUACAGAGACCGAGCAGGAGUUCAGAGAGGAAUUCGCCGGAGUAACAGUGGUCACAGGGGUCACCGGGGUAACAGGGGUCACAGAGGUCACUGGGGUAGUAGAGGGAAUAGCGUUCACUGUACCACCUUAAAAGGAAAAGACGGAAAACAGGAAGAAAUAUGAAACCACUUCAGUUCAACAUGCAGGAACGAUAAUGAAUCAUUACUGUGGAGAACUGAUACUACUGCAGUACAGUGUAGCACAGUGUAGUACAGUGCAGUACAGUGUAGUAUAGUUGCAGUACCUGUUGUGGGCGUCUCGAUGCCGUUGUGGUGAACUGGAAUACUGUUCUCCAUCUUGAACCUCUUUGAUGGCGGCAGCAUCUUGGAGUUCUGAGAAAAAGUUUCAGAGUAAAUUUUACUGAACCUGGAUCAGAACCGGCCCCGGUUAAAUCAGAGGACACCAGAUCCAGGUUCUGAGAUCAGGGUCUGAUAUGUACCUAGAACCAGCCCGGCUGACAGUGAGUUUACCUCCAUGUAUCGGACGUUCUUAUUGGUCAGACUGGAGCUGAGCGAUGCUCCAGGAAGCACCUUCAUCCUGUUGACCUCGUCCAGGAUCCCCAGACACCUGGCAACCUGAGACACACAGCACAGUCCAGAAUAAAGGCCUGGAUACCUGUGUUUACUUGUGUCUACCUGUAUACGACCUGCAGCAGAAUGUUUCUGAGAAAACCUGGGCUACAAAACCAAGUUUUGAUAGUUUUACCUGAAUGCAUCAAAUGCAAACCGCCACAAAUUCACAUACUAAAAAUAUGUAAUAUAUAAAAAUAUUACAAUAAAAGAUGUCAAUAAUUACCACUAUGGACUGAAAUGACACAUUUUUCAGUUACACCUCUGUUGUCUCUUCUGACUCACCUCGAUGUUCCGGACCUCCAGAGGUGAGGCUCCGCCCAGCGGGCUGCUGAUGUACUCCUGGGCAGCUUGUCUCACCUGAGUCUGCAGGGACUCAAACUCACGGUAAAUGUCUGGAAAACGAGUCCGAACCGGACCACCACGCUCCACCUACAACAGGAAGAGGACAGAGAACAAAUUCUCAGAAACACCUGAGAAAUAACAUGUCUGAGGAGAACAACACCUGAGAAAGGACGAGUUCUUCAGAACUUUAAGACUCUAUGUAAAAAGAGAAUCAGCCGGAGGUGUUUAGUGAAGCAGCAUCAAUAUAAUAAGUAGUGAUGUCCUGAUCUAAUCCCAAACAUCAGGAUCAGGGUUAAUUAAGGCAUUUCUUAACUGGUAUCGGCCCAAACCCUUGUUUACAUCCACGAUAAAGUCUUCUGUGAUGAUUAAUGCCCUCUGGCCACACCUGUUGCUUUAACCAGGAUUAUCAUCCAUCGAUCUAUUGUCUAUACACUCACUAUAUCCUCUGUAGGACUGACUGAGGGUGAAGGCAGGUUCACUUGGUCAGGUAAUCUGUCCAUCACAGAGACUUCUACGGACAAUUUAGAAUGAACCUCAGCAUGUGUUUGGACUGUGGGAGGAACCUGGAGAACCUGUUGAGAACCCACACAGGGGGAACAAACUCCACACAGAAUGAAUGUUCCCAGAUCGGGAGCUGUGAGGCGACGGUGCUAACCGCCGCCAAUCAACCCCAAUAUCUACCUGUUACAUAUUCCACUGGGGUAUUUAAAGACUGUCCUUUAAACCCAGUUUGUUUUAAUACAAAAAAACCUCUGGUUGGAGGUCAUUAAGCAGAACAGAAAUGUUUGUCAUGGUGCCCCUUGCUAGCUACACUCCGACAAUGCACUCUGCUUGCCAACAGGAACUGAGAUUUGGUAUUGGUAGAUACUAAAAAUUAAUUAUUUGUAUCAGAUUGGAGGAAAAAAAAACUUGACCUCUCUUAUGAUAACACUUUGAAGAAUGAAAUGUCCUCCCUGGUCACUGCUGUUUGCUAAAGACAUUUGCUGAUUAACUAUUUCAUUAAUACACGGGGGAAAUAAUAAAGACAUUAUAUUUGUUCGGGUGUUAUAAUGUAAAACUCAGGUGUGUACCUUCGCCUGCAGCAUCUCCCACAGACUCAACACUUUGGUCAAACGAGGAAAAACAACGUCCAUCAGCUCCUCAUCCUCACACUGCUCCACCAGCUGUCGCCAUGGAAACACCAAUUAGAAAUGUGUAUCUUUUAUUUUGACGGUCCUGUCGGCACUUUCUCCAUCUUACCUCCUGCAGUCGGUCUCGUCUCCGCUCCGCCUGCUGCUCUGUAGUUACCGUAGUGAUGCCGAGCUUUGGUGGUCGACCGCGGCGACCCCGCCUACUCACAAUCCCCAUCGUCACCUGAAAGAAUCAACCAAUCACAUUCACAGAUUAGGCACCUGAGCGACUGGUCUUGAAGAACACAGCAAACAUAAACCUGAUCCAUUGUACAGGUGUGAUCUGUCCCAGGUAAUGUUUUCUGACUUCAGCCUGUGGAGCUGACUCACCUUGGGAGGCGGUCCCAGUGAUCGGCCCCGCCCUCGACCGCGGCCCCGGCCUCUACCUCGGCCUCUGGGACGGCCGGGGCCCCGAUGAUGGAGGCCCCUGAGUCCUGCUGCUGGUGCUGGACCAACCUCCACCUGAAGACAAGCCGACACCAUGUGAACUGGUUAAUUUAAAACCGAGACAAACCAUUAAUAGUGGAUGAUUGCUGGAUGGUUGCCUCACUCUGUUUGUUGCCAUGGCAGCAGGUUUGUCCUCCUUCUUCUUCUCCUCCUCCUUCUGCUCUUUGUCUCUGGCAGCUCCUGCUGUGGUCUCCUCUGAUUGGCCAGGGAGGGGCGGCGUGCUGUCAGGCGGUUCAGGUUCUCCAUGGGUCGGGUUCAGUUUGUAGUGCCGGUUCAGGCCCCCGGGGCCGAUGUAAGCUUUGUCGCAGGUCUGGCAGCGGUGGGAACGAGAUUUGUGGCUGUAGGUGAGGGAGGCAGAGCUGCCGGGGGCAGGGCCAUCCUUCUUCCCGCCCUCGCCGUCCUCCUCCUCCUCCACGCUCAUGUCGGAGUAGUCGUCAGAGUCGGACUGGUGGCUGUCAGCGAGGUCCUCCGUCUUUAUGAAUUUGUAGUCUUUGGCUUUGUACUUGGGCGGUCUGGACACCCGACCGGAUCGGGUUUGGACUUUCACCGCCUUCUUCUCCCUCUUCUUCAACUUCUUCUCUUUUUCUCGCUCUCGGUCCCUUGCUGGGGGCGGGGCUACAGGGCGUGCGGUCACUGUGACGGGUCGAGCAGCAGGUGUGGUCUGAACUGGGACUGUUGUGAUGACUGUAGGUGGUUUAAUGGGACUUUUACCAGCAACAGUCGCCGUGCUGUUAGCAGGGGUUUUAAUUAAUGGAAUGCUAACAGUUUUAACAAUGGUGGGCGGGGUCUUAAUUAUAGUUGGGGACGUCUUAACGGUGGAGGUGAUCGGGACUCUGAUGGGCGACGAUGCUGGUUUCUGGCCCAGACUGGAGGCAGCACUCGCUGUGGUCGUCUGACCCGUCAGCUUGUGGACCAGUGGGAGCAGAGAACCUACAACGGGGGCGGGGCUCUGCAGUAGGAGCUGGAUUGGCGGAUCACCUGGAUUCUGCUGCAGGAAGAACUGCUGACCCUGCUGACCAACCACAGGCUGGAGGUGGAUGAUCUGAGCAUUGCUUACGCUGCCGUUGGCUGGCAGCUUCACCUGCGGAUGACUGACAGCAACAGUUUUCUGCUGGGCGACGGGCUUCAUUUCCUGUUUGGGAGGAACCUGGAUCUGGAUCCUGACGGGAUCCGGCUGAAAGACAGAAACCAGAAUCAGAAUCAGGACAUCUUCAUGAAGACUAUGGCAGAUGGUAAAAGCUCUAGAACAGCAGCUAAAUGGCGCUAACGCUACAUGUUAGCAGGACCUGCUGAGCAACAGGAGACGGAUCUGUCAGAAGUGGAUCUUUACAGCACAGAAAUAAACUUCAGCUUUGUUCAAAUAAAUAACAACCAUCAGUAAAUGUUAAAGGUAAACAUUUGGAAGUUAACAGAAAAGUAGACAGAUUCGUUCUUGGGGUUUAAAGGUACAUGUAGAAAAUAUUCAGGAUAGGGCUUUCCAGUCCAGCAUGCAUGUUUACAAAACGAAUGCUACACGUGGAACUUUUUCCAUCUGAAGAAGUCGAAUUUAAACGCUGUGUUUUCUCCUCCUAGUUAUGGUGAGCACAGACCAACCAGAGCUCGAAGACUUUUUACUGUUAUUUAAAUCUGCUGUUCAGGAACACUAGAGUUUCUCAGUUUACUACAAUAAAGAUGGACCAAACAAUAGCUGAA